Molecule: transfer RNA, 60 nt
Filed under: Strongyloides ratti
Lineage: Eukaryota; Metazoa; Nematoda; Chromadorea; Rhabditida; Strongyloididae
Description: tRNA SRAE_M000000007
Source: RNAcentral
AUCAAUCUAGUAAAAAUAAUUACGUCACUUUGAUAAGGUGGAAUUCCAAUGGGUUUGAUA